Molecule: transfer RNA, 34 nt
Filed under: Equus sp.
Lineage: Eukaryota; Metazoa; Chordata; Mammalia; Perissodactyla; Equidae
Description: partial tRNA-Trp
Source: RNAcentral
AAAGCUCUAAGCNAGUGAAUCCACUUAAUUCCUG